Molecule: microRNA precursor, 105 nt
Filed under: Canis lupus familiaris (dog)
Lineage: Eukaryota; Metazoa; Chordata; Mammalia; Carnivora; Canidae
Also listed under: 1 other name
Description: mir-8834 microRNA precursor family
Rfam family: mir-8834 microRNA precursor family
Source: Rfam by way of RNAcentral
AGGAGCAACAGCCCCAGGGGCGGGGCCAGCUCUGGAGCCCUGGAGUCAGCUCCGGCAGUAACGCCGGAGCUCUCCGUCUGCAGGGCUUGGAGGCUCCGGGGCGGG